UAAGCGACUAAGCGUACACGGUGGAUGCCUAGGCAGUCAGAGGCGAUGAAGGGCGUGCUAAUCUGCGAAAAGCGUCGGUAAGCUGAUAUGAAGCGUUAUAACCGACGAUACCCGAAUGGGGAAACCCAGUGCGAUACGUUGCACUAUCGUUAGAUGAAUACAUAGUCUAACGAGGCGAACCGGGGGAACUGAAAACAUUUAAAGUACCCCGAAGGGAAAAAAAAAUCAACCGAGAUUCCCCCAGUAGCGGCGAGCGAACGGGGAGGAGCCCAGAGUCUGAAUCAGUUUGUGUGUUAGUGGAAGCGUCUGGAAAGUCGCACGGUACAGGGUGAUAGUCCCGUACACCAAAAUGCACAGGCUGUGAACUCGAUGAGUAGGGCGGGACACGUGACAUCCUGUCUGAAUAUGGGGGGACCAUCCUCCAAGGCUAAAUACUCCUGACUGACCGAUAGUGAACCAGUACCGUGAGGGAAAGGCGAAAAGAACCCCGGCGAGGGGAGUGAAAUAGAACCUGAAACCGUGUACGUACAAGCAGUGGGAGCACCUUCGUGGUGUGACUGCGUACCUUUUGUAUAAUGGGUCAGCGACUUAUAUUUUGUAGCAAGGUUAACCGAAUAGGGGAGCCGUAGGGAAACCGAGUCUUAACUGGGCGUCUAGUUGCAAGGUAUAGACCCGAAACCCGGUGAUCUAGCCAUGGGCAGGUUGAAGGUUGGGUAACACUAACUGGAGGACCGAACCGACUAAUGUUGAAAAAUUAGCGGAUGACUUGUGGCUGGGGGUGAAAGGCCAAUCAAACCGGGAGAUAGCUGGUUCUCCCCGAAAGCUAUUUAGGUAGCGCCUCGUGAACUCAUCUUCGGGGGUAGAGCACUGUUUCGGCUAGGGGGCCAUCCCGGCUUACCAAACCGAUGCAAACUCCGAAUACCGAAGAAUGUUAUCACGGGAGACACACGGCGGGUGCUAACGUCCGUCGUGAAGAGGGAAACAACCCAGACCGCCAGCUAAGGUCCCAAAGUCAUGGUUAAGUGGGAAACGAUGUGGGAAGGCACAGACAGCCAGGAUGUUGGCUUAGAAGCAGCCAUCAUUUAAAGAAAGCGUAAUAGCUCACUGGUCGAGUCGGCCUGCGCGGAAGAUGUAACGGGGCUAAACCAUGCACCGAAGCUGCGGCAGCGACACUUAGGUGUUGUUGGGUAGGGGAGCGUUCUGUAAGCCGUUGAAGGUGACCUGUGAGGGUUGCUGGAGGUAUCAGAAGUGCGAAUGCUGACAUAAGUAACGAUAAUGCGGGUGAAAAACCCGCACGCCGGAAGACCAAGGGUUCCUGUCCAACGUUAAUCGGGGCAGGGUGAGUGACCCCUAAGGCGAGGCUGAAAAGCGUAGUCGAUGGGAAACAGGUUAAUAUUCCUGUACUUGGUGUUACUGCGAAGGGGGGACGGAGAAGGCUAGGCUGGCCGGGCGACGGUUGUCCCGGUUUAAGCGUGUAGGGGGAGUGACCAGGUAAAUCCGGUUGCUUAUCAACCCUGAGGCGUGAUGACGAUGCACCACGGUGCAGAAGCAGUUGAUGCCAUGCUUCCAGGAAAAGCCUCUAAGCAUCAGGUAACAUUAAAUCGUACCCCAAACCGACACAGGUGGUCAGGUAGAGAAUACUCAGGCGCUUGAGAGAACUCGGGUGAAGGAACUAGGCAAAAUGGUGCCGUAACUUCGGGAGAAGGCACGCUGGCGUUAGGUGAAAGGACUAGCUCCUGGAGCUGAAGCCAGUCGCAGAUACCAGCUGGCUGCAACUGUUUAAUAAAAACACAGCACUGUGCAAAACACGAAAGUGGACGUAUACAGUGUGACGCCUGCCCGGUGCUGGAAGGUUAAUUGAUGGGGUCAGCCGCAAGGCGAAGCUCUUGAUCGAAGCCCCAGUAAACGGCGGCCGUAACUAUAACGGUCCUAAGGUAGCGAAAUUCCUUGUCGGGUAAGUUCCGACCUGCACGAAUGGCGUAAUGAUGGCCAGGCUGUCUCCACCCGAGACUCAGUGAAAUUGAACUCGCUGUGAAGAUGCAGUGUACCCGCGGCAAGACGGAAAGACCCCGUGAACCUUUACUAUAGCUUGACACUGAACAUUGAGCCUUGAUGUGUAGGAUAGGUGGGAGGCCUUGAAGUGUGGACGCCAGUCUGCAUGGAGCCAACCUUGAAAUACCACCCUUUAAUGUUUGAUGUUCUAACUCGGCCCCAUGAUCUGGGGUGAGGACAGUGUCUGGUGGGUAGUUUGACUGGGGCGGUCUCCUCCCAAAGAGUAACGGAGGAGCACGAAGGUUAGCUAAUCACGGCCGGACAUCGUGAGGUUAGUGCAAAGGCAUAAGCUAGACUUGGACUGGAAGAGGGCCGCGCUCGAACCAGGUACGAAAGUAGGUCUUAGUGAUCCGGUGGUUCUGAAUGGAAGGGCCAUCGCUCAACGGAUAAAAAGGUACUCCGGGGAUAACAGGCUGAUACCGCCCAAGAGUUCAUAUCGACGGCGGUGUUUGGCCCCUCGAUUUGGGCUCAUCACAUCCUGGGGCUGAAGUAGGUCCCAAGGGUAUGGCUGUUCGCCAUUUAAAGUGGUACGCGAGCUGGGUUUAGAACGUCGUGAGACAGUUCGGUCCCUAUCUGCCGUGGGCGUUGGAAGAUUGAGAGGGGCUGCUCCUAGUACGAGAGGACCGGAGUGGACGAAUCACUGGUGUUCGGGUUGUCAUGCCAAUGGCAUUGCCCGGUAGCUAAAUUCGGAAGAGAUAACCGCUGAAAGCAUCUAAGCGGGAAACUUGCCUCGAGAUGAGUCUUCCCUGGGGCUUAAAGCCCCCUGAAGGAACGUUAAAGACUAUGACGUUGAUAGGCUGGGUGUGUAAGUGCAGCGAUGUAUUGAGCUAACCAGUACUAAUGAUCCGUGAGGCUUAACCU
This 2913-nucleotide ribosomal RNA is filed under the name Yersinia pestis 2944. Its description in RNAcentral is "bacterial LSU rRNA". It matches the Rfam family "Bacterial large subunit ribosomal RNA". Lineage: Bacteria; Pseudomonadati; Pseudomonadota; Gammaproteobacteria; Enterobacterales; Yersiniaceae. The record is from RNAcentral.